RNAcentral lists this ribosomal RNA (455 nucleotides) under uncultured Eubacteriales bacterium. Its description in RNAcentral is "uncultured Clostridiales bacterium partial 16S ribosomal RNA". It matches the Rfam family "Bacterial small subunit ribosomal RNA", at positions 926 to 1379 of the family's 1533-position model. The record is from RNAcentral. Lineage: Bacteria; Bacillati; Bacillota; Clostridia; Eubacteriales.
CAAGCGGGGGNGCANGUGGUUUAAUUUGAAGCAACGCGAAGAACCUUACCANGUCUUGACAUCNNNNUGACCGNACAGUAAUGUGGCCUUUUUUUUGGAACAGGGGUGACAGGUGGUGCAUGGUUGUCGUCAGCUCGUGUCGUGAGAUGUUGGGUUAAGUCCCGCAACGAGCGCAACCCCUGUCCUUAGUACCCAGCAUUUAAAAUGGGCACUCUAGGAAAACUGCCAGGGAUAACCUGGAAGAAGGCGGGGAUGACGUCAAAUCAUCAUGCCCCUUAUGACUUGGGCUACACACGUGCUACAAUGGCGUAAACAAAGGGAAGCGACGCCGUGAGGCCAAGCAAAUCCCAAAAAUAACGUCUCAGUUCGGACUGUAGUCUGCAACCCGACUACACNAAUCUGGAAUCGCUANUANUCGCAAAUCAAAAUGCUGCGGAGUAUACUUNNCCGGACAA